AUUGAACGCUGGCGGCAUGCUUUACACAUGCAAGUCGAACGGUAACAGGGUGCUUGCACCGCUGACGAGUGGCGAACGGGUGAGUAAUGCGUCGGAACGCACCGAGUAAUGGGGGAUAACGCAGCGAAAGUUGUGCUAAUACCGCAUACGCUCUGAGGAGGAGAGCGGGGGACCUUCGGGCCUCGCGUUAUUCGAGCGGCCGACGUCUGAUUAGCUAGUAGGUGAGGUAAGAGCUCACCUAGGCGACGAUCAGUAGCGGGUCUGAGAGGAUGAUCCGCCACACUGGGACUGAGACACGGCCCAGACUCCUACGGGAGGCAGCAGUGGGGAAUUUUGGACAAUGGGCGCAAGCCUGAUCCAGCCAUGCCGCGUGUCUGAAGAAGGCCUUCGGGUUGUAAAGGACUUUUGUCAGGGAGGAAAUCCCUAAGGUUAAUACCCUUGGGGGAUGACAGUACCUGAAGAAUAAGCACCGGCUAACUACGUGCCAGCCGCCGCGGUAA
RNAcentral lists this ribosomal RNA (500 nucleotides) under uncultured bacterium. RNAcentral's name for it is "partial 16S ribosomal RNA". It matches the Rfam family "Bacterial small subunit ribosomal RNA", at positions 30 to 523 of the family's 1533-position model. The record is from RNAcentral.